RNAcentral lists this transfer RNA (74 nucleotides) under Camelus bactrianus (Bactrian camel). It matches the Rfam family "tRNA". Rfam says of the family: Transfer RNA (tRNA) molecules are approximately 80 nucleotides in length. Their secondary structure includes four short double-helical elements and three loops (D, anti-codon, and T loops). The record is from Rfam by way of RNAcentral. Lineage: Eukaryota; Metazoa; Chordata; Mammalia; Artiodactyla; Camelidae. RNAcentral also lists the same sequence under 1 other name.
GAGGGUGUAGCUUAAGUGGUAGAGUGCAUGCUUAGCAUGCACGAGGCCCUGGGUUCAAUCCCUCAGCACUUCCU